GUCAGAGUUUGAUCCUGGCUCAGAUUGAACGCUGGCGGCAGGCCUAACACAUGCAGUCGAGCGGCAGCGGGAAAGUAGCUUGCUACUUUUGCCGGCGAGCGGCGGACGGGUGAGUAAUGCCUGGGGAUCUGCCCAGUCGAGGGGGAUAACUACUGGAAACGGUAGCUAAUACCGCAUACGCCCUACGGGGGAAAGCAGGGGACCUUCGGGCCUUGCGCGAUUGGAUGAACCCAGGUGGGAUU
This 242-nucleotide ribosomal RNA is filed under the name uncultured Aeromonas sp. RNAcentral describes it as "partial 16S ribosomal RNA". It matches the Rfam family "Bacterial small subunit ribosomal RNA", at positions 1 to 242 of the family's 1533-position model. The record is from RNAcentral. Lineage: Bacteria; Pseudomonadati; Pseudomonadota; Gammaproteobacteria; Aeromonadales; Aeromonadaceae.